This 225-nucleotide long non-coding RNA is filed under the name Elaeis guineensis (African oil palm). RNAcentral describes it as "long non-coding RNA (EGUI_LNC023079)". The record is from RNAcentral. Lineage: Eukaryota; Viridiplantae; Streptophyta; Magnoliopsida; Arecales; Arecaceae.
UGUCGGUUGUGAUGACCUGAGACAAGCCGAAGUGACAGAUGGUGCUCUUCUAAACAAAGUCAUGGGUGUUCUUCUCAGUGAUAUGGAUGAGUGGCUCCAUCUCGAUCCACUUGGUGAAGUUGUUGAUUGUCACUAUAAGAAAUUUCUUUUGUCUGGUGGCCUAUGGGAAAGGACUGAGGAUGUCGAUCCCCUACUGAGCCAAUGGCCAAGGAGAAUAGACUAGAG